Molecule: long non-coding RNA, 700 nt
Organism: Pleuronectes platessa (European plaice)
Lineage: Eukaryota; Metazoa; Chordata; Actinopteri; Pleuronectiformes; Pleuronectidae
Exons: 5
Source: RefSeq, a predicted model, not a curated record
GGUUCAGUUGGAAAAGUCACAGGACAGAGAGAGACUCGUGGAAACGAAGGAGCUCAGGUGAUGAUCUGCAGCGGAGACGAACCGGGAUCAUGAGGUUCUGAAGCGAGGAGGAGACGAGAGAGAAAAGUGCUGGAGCUGUGGCUGGGAGCGGAGACAGGAUGUUUUCUGAUCUCAUGUGUCUUGAUGAUUCAGAAGAGGGCAGCGGGCGAUUAGUGUCGUGCACGUGAGGCCGCCCGGUGCCGACUUCAGCGCUUCUGAGAUCUGAACCCACGGGACCCGAGGAAGACGAGGAGGAUGCUGCAGUGACAGAACAGAAGGAGCUGGGUUUGCAGAGAUCGUAUCAGUGCAUCGUUCCACCCUGAGCGGGGACUUGCUCGGCCUUCUCGGGAUUUCACACCAGAUGGUCUCACCAGAGUAAAUGUUCACGUCCCCUGCUGUCAGUGUGGAGUAGUGCUGGAGGCUGCGGGGCGGCUGUGUGCUGUGUGAAGUUCCUGCGAGUGCAGCGGAGUGGCGGGCGCUCACAGAGACACACUUGUGCAGAAGGAGGAGAAGACUGGCGCGCUUUUUUUUCACAGGAGGAUAUAUAUAUAUGUAUAUAUGUAUAUAUAUAUAAAUUAAAAAAGAAAAAAGGCAGUCUCACACCUUUGCUGCCCUGCACGGUUUGCGUCGGUUGUGGCAGCACCUCUGGGAUUGGAAGGAG